Molecule: long non-coding RNA, 435 nt
Filed under: Cricetulus griseus (Chinese hamster)
Lineage: Eukaryota; Metazoa; Chordata; Mammalia; Rodentia; Cricetidae
Description: lncRNA (ENSCGRG00015042642.1)
Source: RNAcentral
CUUAGGUCAAAGCAAAAAUCUAGAGCAGUCUGAGGGAGAAAAAAAAAAAAAUUCCCGAGAUGCAUCAUACACCUCAGUUGAGGAGGGCAAUAUGCUGCCUGCCGUUUGCUCUGGUGAAGGCUGGUGCCUGUCACAUGUGCCUCAGGCCUUCCUGCUCUGGCAUCUGCCUUCUGAGUCAUUGUGGCUUGGGGGAGAAUCCUCAAACAUCAGGCUGCCUAACCACCAUCUGACUCGUAGGAAGUUAAGGCCUACCAGGCUGUGAGUUGAGCCAACCGUGAGUCUGACAGUUGCUGUCAGUGGUCCUGAUCCUGCCCAGCCAAUGAGGGGUGACUACCCGAUCCUGCGUGAGGCCCUAGCAACAGGAGCUGUCAUCGGUCCUGAUUGUGCCUAGCCAAUGAAGGGCGACUAGGAAAUGCCAAUGGAUCAGAACAUCUG